Molecule: ribosomal RNA, 832 nt
Filed under: uncultured organism
Description: bacterial SSU rRNA
Rfam family: Bacterial small subunit ribosomal RNA
Source: RNAcentral
UUGAUCCUGGCUCAGGAUGAACGCUAGCGGCAGGCUUAACACAUGCAAGUCGAGGGGUAACAGUCCCGCUUCGGCGGGAGCUGACGACCGGCGCACGGGUGAGUAACGCGUAUGCAACUCUCCUGUAACUGGAGGAUAGCCCCUGGAAACGGGGAUUAAUACUGCGUAAUACCUAAAUACCGCAUGGUAUUAAGGUCAAAUCUACGGAGGUUACAGAUGGGCAUGCGUGCCAUUAGCUAGAUGGUAAGGUAACGGCUUACCAUGGCAAUGAUGGCUAGGGGUUCUGCAAGGAAGGCCCCCCACACUGGUACUGAGACACGGACCAGACUCCUACGGGAGGCAGCAGUGAGGAAUACUGGUCAAUGGAGGCAACUCUGAACCAGCCAAGCCGCGUGAAGGAAGACUGUCCUAUGGAUUGUAAACUUCUUUUGUGGCAGAAUAAACUACCGUACUUGUACGGUAUUGCAUGUAUGCCAUGAAUAAGCAUCGGCUAACUCCGUGCCAGCAGCCGCGGUAAUACGGAGGAUGCAGGCGUUAUCCGGAUUUAUUAGGUUUAAAGGGUGUUCAGGCUGCCUGGUAAGUCAGGGGUGAAAGUCGGUUGCUCAACGAUCGAAUUGCCUUUGAAACUGUCAGGCUCGAGUAUGGAUGCGGUAGGCGGAAUGUGUAGUGUAGCGGUGAAAUGCAUAGAUAUUACACAGAACACCGAUUGCGAAGGCAGCUUACCAAACCAGCACUGACGCUGAAGCACGAAAGCGUGGGGAGCGAACAGGAUUAGAUACCCUGGUAGUCCACGCCGUAAACUUUGCUCACUCGCUGUUGGCGAUAGACAGUC